UUGGGAAUAUUGGGCAAUGGGCGCAAGCCUGACCCAGCAACGCCGCGUGAAGGAUGAAGGCUUUCGGGUUGUAAACUUCUUUUAUCAGGGACGAAUUCUGACGGUACCUGAUGAAUAAGCCACGGCUAACUACGUGCCAGCAGCCGCGGUAAUACGUAGGUGGCAAGCGUUAUCCGGAUUUACUGGGUGUAAAGGGCGUGUAGGCGGGACUGCAAGUCAGGUGUGAAAACCACGGGCUCAACCUGUGGCCUGCAUUUGAAACUGUAGUUCUUGAGUGCUGGAGAGGCAAUCGGAAUUCCGUGUGUAGCGGUGAAAUGCGUAGAUAUACGGAGGAACACCAGUGGCGAAGGCGGAUUGCUGGACAGUAACUGACGCUGAGGCGCGAAAGCGUGGGGAGCAAACAGGAUUAGAUACC
This 415-nucleotide ribosomal RNA is filed under the name uncultured bacterium. RNAcentral's name for it is "bacterial SSU rRNA". It matches the Rfam family "Bacterial small subunit ribosomal RNA", at positions 355 to 786 of the family's 1533-position model. The record is from RNAcentral.